RNAcentral lists this ribosomal RNA (492 nucleotides) under uncultured bacterium. RNAcentral's name for it is "partial 16S ribosomal RNA". It matches the Rfam family "Bacterial small subunit ribosomal RNA", at positions 29 to 507 of the family's 1533-position model. The record is from RNAcentral.
AGUGAACGCUGGCGGUAGGCCUAACACAUGCAAGUCGAACGGCAGCACAGUAAGAGCUUGCUCUUACGGGUGGCGAGUGGCGGACGGGUGAGGAAUACAUCGGAAUCUACUUUUUCGUGGGGGAUAACGUAGGGAAACUUACGCUAAUACCGCAUACGACCUACGGGUGAAAGCAGGGGAUCUUCGGGCCUUGCGCGAUUGAAUGAGCCGAUGCCGGAUUAGCUAGUUGGCGGGGUAAAGGCCCACCAAGGCGACGAUCCGUAGCUGGUCUGAGAGGAUGAUCAGCCACACUGGAACUGAGACACGGUCCAGACUCCUACGGGAGGCAGCAGUGGGGAAUAUUGGACAAUGGGCGCAAGCCUGAUCCAGCCAUACCGCGUGGGUGAAGAAGGCCUUCGGGUUGUAAAGCCCUUUUGUUGGGAAAGAAAAGCAGCAGGUUAAUACCCCGCUGUUCUGACGGUACCCAAAGAAUAAGCACCGGCUAACUUCGUG